UACGGAGGGGGCUAGCGUUGUUCGGAAUUACUGGGCGUAAAGCGUACGUAGGCGGCUUUGUAAGUUAGAGGUGAAAGCCCGGGGCUCAACCCCGGAAUUGCCUUUAAGACUGCAUCGCUAGAAUCAUGGAGAGGUGAGUGGAAUUCCGAGUGUAGAGGUGAAAUUCGUAGAUAUUCGGAAGAACACCAGUGGCGAAGGCGACUCACUGGACAUGUAUUGACGCUGAGGUACGAAAGCGUGGGGAGCAGACAGG
This 253-nucleotide ribosomal RNA is filed under the name uncultured bacterium. RNAcentral describes it as "partial 16S ribosomal RNA". It matches the Rfam family "Bacterial small subunit ribosomal RNA", at positions 524 to 776 of the family's 1533-position model. The record is from RNAcentral.